CGGGAUUUAGCUCAGUUUGGUUAGAGCACUCGCUUUGGGAGCGAGGGGUCACAGGUUCGAAUCCUGCAAUCCCGA
This 75-nucleotide transfer RNA is filed under the name Streptococcus sp. Its description in RNAcentral is "tRNA-Pro". It matches the Rfam family "tRNA". From Rfam's summary of the family: Transfer RNA (tRNA) molecules are approximately 80 nucleotides in length. Lineage: Bacteria; Bacillati; Bacillota; Bacilli; Lactobacillales; Streptococcaceae. The record is from RNAcentral.